AACGAACGCUGGCGGCAGGCUUAACACAUGCCAGUCGAACGCGUGCAGCAAUGCACGAGUGGCGCACGGGUGAGUAACGAGUGGAUAUCUGCCUUUUGGUUCGGAAUAACCCCGGGAAACUGGGGCUAAUACCGGAUGGUUCCUACGGGAUAAAGAUUUAUCGCCAAAAGAUGAGUCCGCGUCCGAUUAGCUAGUUGGUGAGGUAAUGGCUCACCAAGGCGACGAUCGGUAGCUGGUCUGAGAGGACGAUCAGCCGCACUGGGACUGAGACACGGCCCAGACUCCUACGGGAGGCAGCAGUGGGGAAUAUUGGACAAUGGGGGCAACCCUGAUCCAGCCAUGCCGCGUGAGUGAUGAAGGCCUUCGGGUUGUAAAGCUCUUUUGGCGGGGACGAUGAUGACGGUACCCGCAGAAUAAGCCCCGGCUAACUUCGUG
This 435-nucleotide ribosomal RNA is filed under the name uncultured bacterium. Its description in RNAcentral is "partial 16S ribosomal RNA". It matches the Rfam family "Bacterial small subunit ribosomal RNA", at positions 29 to 507 of the family's 1533-position model. The record is from RNAcentral.